CCACAGCGACCGUAAAAAUGUAUGAAAACAAGAAAAUAGGUUGUUGAUCUUAAUUUGGGGUAAGGCAUAAGGCUAGCAUUGAGGUUGGGGUUAAGGUUAGGGUUUAAGAAGAUACAUUGUAGAAAUAGGCGGGCUAUAGACAUAAUUAUAACGUUGUGGCUGUGAGAAUUAGUCAGUGACGACCCCCAGUGUGGACCACAUUUAUUGUUUGUUUUUAGCUUGGACGCUUGCUGGCUAAGUUUAGCUAGCUUUCCUGUCAAAACUUACCGAUAUUAUUUAAUCAGACAUAAAACUAUAUUAUUUCUUAUUUAUCUUUCUUUAUGCUACACAUUUGAUUGUUUUAUUUUUUUACCACAUCAAUGUCACCCGAUGAACUCCUGUGUGGUUUUCGAAAACUAGCUAGUGUUAAUUAUCUUAUUAACGUUAGCUAACGUACAUUUUUGGUGAUUCUGUUUUGUCGGUUUUAUUCUCUAGCUAACGUUACCUAGUUACCCGUUUUUACAAUGAUUUGUAGCUACUAAAUUACUCUACUACCAGUUAAAAGGUAACGUAAGUUCAAGCUUUGAAUUAGCUAACGUUAACCAUUAGGUCCACAUUUUAUCUGGCAUUGAUACAACCAUUCUGAUAAAAAUCCACGCAAGGAAGUCAACAUGCCGGUACAUUCUCAAGAAAAGAAAGAGAGUAACCGGCACGAGGAGAUGGAAGUCGAUUAUCCUGAACAAGAGGGGAGUUCAGACGAGGAUGACACUGAGCUCGUCCGUGUCAGAUGAUGGGGAUAGCUCGGGUUGUACAAGGAGAGGUUGAGUCAGGUGGAUGCGAAACUCCAGGAGUUGAUUGUAGGCAAGGCUUCGGAGUACCUGGACCCCUGGAAAAUCUGCAGGAGAACAUGCAGAUCAGAACAAAGGUUGGGAUCUACUGGGGACUCUGUGUAGAGUCUGUAAAAAAACAAGUACGACUGUGAAAUCCAAGCUGUUUUCCAGCACUGGGAGGUGAGCAUUGCUGCUGGGAAGUCCACAUUUCAUAGAUCUACCCAUGUCCCAGGGAUGCAAGCUAGUUACCUUUUGCCGAAAUUUGCCGUUUUGGACCCAAAAUAGGUGACCUAUGUGAUUUGUGUAGAUCCAAGGAGAAAAGUUUGGGAAGAGGGUGCUUUGGAUCACCACUGGCUGUAGUAAGCGAACGAGUGAUGCGUGUGUGGAGCAAUACUGGCUGUAUCCAAGGCUCAUCCAAUCGUUCACAUAACAACAGAAUGCAGCGCAGUACGCGACUGAAGGAAGAAGAGACAACCAAAUUGUUUACAGCAUCAGCGCGCACACUGGAAAGACAGUGGAGAGUGGAAAGGCAGCUUGCCAGUUACAGCAGCGCAUCCCCUGAACAAUAAUGUAGAGGUAACGUUAGGUGAGAAGCCUGACCACGGAGGUGAGAAGGUGAUGAAGCGUACUUCAUAAGCUGUAACUGAAAAACAACUGGCAUUUGGAACAUUUGAAGUGAGGAAGAAAGUGUGGUGGAACAAGUAUUGUUAGCAUUGUUAAGAAUCUUGCUAACUUAGCUGGAUCGAAUUCUCCAUUAGCCAGCCAGAGAAAUGUUGAACAACAUUAGCCAACUUAUCUGAUCAAAUUAUUGAGUUUUGAAAAUUCACUGGCUAAUAAAGUCAGACAGCUAACGUUAGUGACCUAACCAAUUCGCUAUAGUAUUAACUGGUAUAUGACUCCUUGCCGUUCCUCAAGUUAUAACGCGUUAGUUGCUUACUGGACCCUGGCAAUCUGUGUGAAAUGUUAACUAGCUAACGAACUAACCACUAUCUGUUAACUAAUGUUUCCCCUCUACAGUAUGUUUCAAUACAGUGGAUAAAAAGGGGUAUGCUGGGUGUACUCUCCGCGUGAAAUAGAUCAAUUAUGCCAACAAACGGUAUCAUGCUCUGCUGGCACAUUGUAGAACAGAUGUCCACAGGCAGAAAGUGUAAAUGUAAUAAUGUGCAGUGUAGCCCAAAGAUAUUGCUUUUGUUAUGUUGAAUUUGACAUUAACACUUGUGUGUGAGUGAGGGGGGAUUAUAAAAUGUUUUACUCAGUGAACGUUAUUUUUGCACACAUGUAGCCUUGUGCACUUGAUCGACGUCUACUAUAGUGCCAUUAUAAUAGAGAAAAAAUAUAAUGUCUGUUUGUGUCAUUCUAUUUUUACUUUAAGGUGUUUUUCCCCCAAUUGCAAUAUUUAGAUGUGUGUGGUCACAAGCAUUCUAUUAUAAAGGCUGUCAUGGCUAA
Salvelinus namaycush (lake trout) is the source of this 2255-nucleotide long non-coding RNA. RefSeq lists it as uncharacterized. The transcript has 3 exons. The record is from RefSeq and is a predicted model, not a curated record. Lineage: Eukaryota; Metazoa; Chordata; Actinopteri; Salmoniformes; Salmonidae.